GCCGAGGCAGCGGGGCGGGCAGGAUCGGGCCCGUGCCCCUCUCCGCUUCUCUCGGAUCCAAUUCGGCUCCGCGUGAUGGUGCCCGAACUAGGGCCGUGGCUGCUGGCAUUGGCCUUGGGGCUGGCAGGGGUGUGGGCGCAGCUCAGGCUGGAGGAGGCCGGCGGAGGGCUGCGAGCGCCCGGGGACUCCGUGCUCCUCUCGUGCCGCGGAUACGGCUUCCGCUUUGGAAGUUAUGAGCUUCUGUGGUACCGUCGGGCGCCCGGAGGCAGACUCGAGUGGGUGUCCUUCUCGAGAGGCUACUCGGAUAGCGCGGAAUACGCAGCAGCGGUGGAAGGUCGAGCCACUGUCUCCCGGGACAAUUCCCGGUCUGAGGCAUAUCUGUCCCUGCGUGCCCUGCAGCCUCAGGACUCUGCCCGCUACUUUUGCGCUGUACACACGGAAUCAGGAAAAGCAGCUGAGCUUUAACAUAAACCUGCUGCGCCCAGCCCAAUUUUUAGAGAGUUGCCAUAGUCGAGGAGGGGGUGUGAGGCUUAGAGCAAUUCUCUUGGAUUGAGGUGCUGUCACUUCCCUCCCACAGUAUACAGUCCUUUAUGAACAUUGUGGUACCUCCCCAUGGGAUACAGUCGUUCAGAAACAGACUGCUCCAGUGUGGACCACUCAAAGGCCACAGAUCCUUCCUGAAAGCCUGCUCUUCCCUGGGCUCUUUAAGUGCACCGGGUUCUUUCAGGGUAUAUCCAGCUUACACGCACAGGGUCCUCCAUGGGCUGCAGCGGGACAA
Pezoporus occidentalis (night parrot) is the source of this 778-nucleotide non-coding RNA. NCBI's taxonomy places the organism in Eukaryota, Metazoa, Chordata, Aves, Psittaciformes, Psittacidae. The record is from the annotation of a RefSeq genome assembly.